UCAAUUUGGACUGAUAACUCGCUGUCUGGUAAACAAUGUUGGGUGCAACUGUUGCCAGGUAGUUGGCGAUUGCCAAGCCUCGGAAGGGAGGUAUGCCAGAGAAUUCCUCCACCCUCCGCCAUUGAAACGUCUCGUUCAAUCGGAUCUUGAUUUAUCGCUUAUCCGUCACUUACGUUAAACGAAAAAAAAAUCCCAUUUCAUUCGCUGAAUAAUCGAACAAGAAAAAUGACACGAAGGAUUCCCUUCGUUCUUCCAUGAUUACAAAACUCUCGAAUUUCACUUUUCACGUGGCGAGAAGUCGAAAAAUCGUGCCGAUCUAUUUUCUCAACAGUUUGAUCCCCGGCUUCGGGGAACAAAUCCCGUCGAACGCGCGGUUCGUGGAAAGGCGGAAACUCGUUUCGCCCCUUUUUUUUUUUUUUUUUUUCUUCUAUCCAGCUCGCCGGAAUUACGAGGUUGCAGCCGGUGCAACACCGGCCAGCCGGCGACAUCCUGCCUCGAAUCGAAUUCGCGCCCCGCUGCCUGCUUGCGCUCCCUGCUUGCAGCUCGUAAACAAAUCGGCUCGUACAACUCGUUGCCUCGCAACGAUUACGUUUUCUCUUGCAACGUGUGCAACGGAGAUUUUAAGCACGAGGGAGGAGGAGGAGGAGGAAGGAGAGGGGAGGGGAAUCGGACCUCGUAGACAUAAACAGAAUUCGCGAACGGUGACUCGACGCGACCGGCUUAUUUUCGAUAAUGACGAAAAUAUCGCCCGUUCUCGAUACCAAAAGCGUAUUCGCCUUUUUUUCCUUUCCUUUCCUUUUCUUUUUCCUUUUCUCUGCUCCUCGCUCCUACUCUCUUCGAGGAGAGAGAAAUAAAAAAAAAGAAAAAGAGAGAGAGAGAGAGAGAUUGAACGACGAUGCCUCUUUCGAUAGAAGUUAUUCCCGAAGACGAUUCGUACGUGCCAAACGUAUUUAUGAAAAUUUGCCUCUACGUUUAGUCGGGGCGCGAGAAAUACACAAUUUGCUCGUUCGUCCGCGAUGGUACGUCAUUUUUCAAUCCCCCAAAUCCCGGCUCCUCUUCCCACGCGGCUGGCAAAAUCCCAGUUAUUGCCACAUUUCGCGUGUUAACCUUUAUCGGAAAGGAAGUCCUCGAGGACUCCUCGAGACUGUUAUUUUUUUUUUUUUUUUUCUAGCUGGAUACUACCUGUUAAUACCGAUCGUCAAACGUUGCGCGCGAUAUUAUCGUAUCUUCGGAGGGAACGGAAUUUCUGGGAAAAAGAAAAAAGGAAAAAUAACACGAAUCGUUUAACGAGCAUAACAAUUAAGAUUCUAAUCGCGGUGAUCGUAAAUGCGUUUCGAACAAGCUUGGAAAAUUAUCCGAGUUGAACCGUUCCUUCCAGGAAAAUAAAAUGAUUAAGGAAUCCUCGUUAAAAAUUUCCUUUCCUACUCAGCGAAAUUCCGUGAUUCAUUCCGUGAAAUGAUUCCAAAUGAUCCGAAACGAGCAGGAGAGAAAUUCCAACGAUGUCGUAACCGAUCCUCUAAAUUAUUCACGCGUACACACAUACACAUGCCCGUUCGAGUCGCGAUUAGACGUCGAGGUUGGCAUCGAGGAGGCGGUGGAAAAGGAACGAUAAAAAACAAAAUAAAAAAAACGGUUUUAUCGAAGUCACGGUGUAAUCGGCUAACGACACGCGGAAUUUAUGUCGAGUCCUUCCUUGGCGCGAUAAUGCUAUUCGUAAGCGUCGCUCGCCAACGAAAUAUAUCGCGUAUAUUCAACGACGAGCGCCCACGUUGCACCGACUGCAUCGAAUCACGGAAACCCGCGCCCAGAUACGCGCAGCUGUUUGUCGCAGAUUACGAGAGAGAACGACCAAACCCCCCCCUCUCGACCAAUAACUCUUCCCCUGUCCUUAAAAUUGUGUCAAAUCGAUAUUUAAAAAAAAAAAAAAAGAAAUUAUUAUCUCCUGUUUUCGAGAUACGAAAAAUUGGAAAUGGAUCGACGGAGAAACGGAGCGAAUCGCUUGCCGUUCUCCCGUUUUUUUCGAAUCUUUCUUCCCUCCAGAGGGAGAGAAGGAGGUGAGCGCGCAUGGUGCGUGGACGAUCGGUAUUUUUAUCGAUCGGACGCGACGUCGCUCCCUCCUUAGAAAAAUUUAUUUUCGCGGUGACCAACGCGGUCCAGGAAGGAACCGAACCCGUCGACGACAUCGUCUUCGUCAUUGCCUUCGUCUUCGUCGUUGUCUUCGCGAGCGGGGCUCGACCCGGCUUGCGCGUUUCGCAAAGGCACCUUCUAGAAAUAGAACGCCCAAAUAAUUUGCCUCGGAUUACCAGCGACGCGUCGCGCCUCUCUCCCUCCUCCUCUCCCCUCCUCUUUUUCCUCUCUUUUCGAACGUUUUCGAUCGCGUCGAUUUUUAAAAACGAUCACCAUCCUUAGUUAUCGCUCCUCCUCUUCUGUUUCGAGAACAGGUCCGAUUCCUUUAAAAAAUCCGUAUUUAAAAAAAGGAAAGAAAAAAAAAAAGAAAAAAUCCCAGUAUGCAAAACAGAUCGCUAGAAGUCCAUGUAUACGUGUUCACUCGAUAGAUAAGCGUAACCUUUAAAUAGAUCGGUGUGUUAAGCGACCGGUUGGGUAAAUACAUUGGCAAUAAUCGUCGAUGCGAAGAAAAGGUAAACCAGGCAUAUAUAUAUAUAUAUACACACACAUACAUACGCGUCUUUGUAAAAUUCACGAUAUUGCAAAAUCGACGUGGUCGCGUCGCAGAGAUUAUUUUGCCGCGGAUUCAAUAAAUCGCGGUAAAAAAAACGCGAUAACGAAUGACGGGAGCGAAAAUUAAACUUAUUAAAAUCGCGAUUACUCGAGAUUAAUUCGUAAAUUCGUUUUGGUGAUGGGAGCCGUUUGACACCGUCAGACUCGUAUUUCUCUCCUUUCCGAGAAACCUCGAGGGCGGCCGGACGUCGUAUUUGCGGCCUCAUAAAAUAAACGGAGCACGUGCUGCUUAAGAAGGCCAAGUUCGAAAUGUCGAUCGCGAGAUAAAACUGUUGAACAUCGAUGAAAACGGAAUCCGGUUGCGCGUUUCCGAUCGUUCUCUCUCUACUCAGUCCUCCACAGAAUACUCGAACGAGAGGCCGAAAAUUAUAUACAUACAUAUAUUCGUGGCCAACUCCUUCGUUGACAGCUGCUCGAUGAUUCGAAAAUAUUUCAAAAUAUUUCCAUCAUUCAUCAUCGGUUAUAAUAUGGCUAUUUUUGAGAAUACGAUUCGCGCCUUGACAUGAUUCUUUAUAUUUUUUUACUUUUUUUUUUUUUUUGGCAAACGAUAACAAACAAACGAGCGAUCGUUAAUAAAAGAACGUACAGCGGGAGGACUGGAAGAAGAUUCGCAACGGAGGAGGGGGAGGAGUCGUUGAGCUACCUGAUGUUUCGUAAUUAAAUGUCAACCGAUGUCGUCGUUGAAAUAAAGGAAGAAAGUUGAAAAAUCCUUAGGAAAGUCGCGGCGAUAGAAGCCAAAAGCUUCUCGUGUUACAGCGCGCCUGGUCGCCAAAACACGGCGGCGACGGCGGUCCGCGCGUUUCGCACGUAGUUGGCAACGAUUUCUACCGAUGCGCGUGAAAUAAUUUGGCGUUUGUUAGUCUAUUACGUAAUCCCGCCUCACGGUUCUUUAUGGAGAAAGGAAGAGAGACGGGAAUCCGUUGUCUGAGAAACACGAUUCGAACACGAUUCGAACGAAUUUAAAUAAUUCUCACCCCUGUUGCUGGCUAACAGAGUCUCUCGCCAUGACCGCUAAAACGUCACGGCGAUCAAGAUCGACACAAAGAAGUGAAACAGAGUCACGUUUUAAAUAAAAUGUACGUGACCGAUUCAAAUACGCAUGCAAUUUACCGAAGAGCCAACCGAUUAUAUCGCAAGCUAUAUCUGUCAGACUCGUUCUAUCCAACUCUGAACAAUAAACUCUUCCCGAUGAAAAGCAUCGAACCGACAUCUCUCCUCUCACGAACAUUCUCCGAGUGUCAAACGAGGAAAAGAAGAAGGAAAAGAAGAAGAAGAAUAAGAAGAAGAAGAAGAAGAAGAAGAAGGAGAAGAAAAUGAUCGCAAAAAGGAAUAUCAAAUAAACGAAACGCCUUACCUUUUGCACGACGAGCGGUGUGCCGAAAUCCUUCCCUCCCUGAAGACGAAAACCCCAGGGAGAUCCGUCGAAUCUGGAUAGUUUGACGUUGAUCAACUGGGCCAUAUCACUGAUAUCUUUUACAGACAACCGGAUAAAAAAAAGAAAACUGAAUCCUCGAUGCGAAUGAAACGAAACGAAUGAAACGAAUAAGUUAUCGAUCGGUUUUAUAUAUAUAUAUAUAUAUGUGUGUGUGUGUGUAUGUAUGUAUGUAUAUAUAUAUAUACACACACGAUUCCCUCUA
Molecule: long non-coding RNA, 4376 nt
Organism: Apis cerana (Asiatic honeybee)
Lineage: Eukaryota; Metazoa; Arthropoda; Insecta; Hymenoptera; Apidae
Source: RefSeq, a predicted model, not a curated record